UUUUUUAAGUGGAUACCGAGGUACCCCUAAUUCUACUUCCGGACACUUGUCCAUUUUUUCUGCGAGGUUGUCGAGCACUUGCUUCUUUUUAUUUCCUCGAAAUAUCUUCUAUUUUUGCAUAGCCCAUGCCUCUAAUGCAAUAAUACUUCGGAAGAGUGAAUCUUACUGAAAUAAUGUCUUGAUCUUAGGAGCAUGAUAAAUCUCUCAACAAGGGUCUAACUCAUUUUGAACAAACUCAAUACAGAGCAGAUAGCUUUUAUAAUCAUAUUUAAUAUUUCAGUUUUAUCAGGCAUAUAAAACACUGAGGAUGGUAGCUAGGAAUUUGAACAUUUUGAAAUAAAUUCUCCAAGCAACAAUGAUAUCAAGAAUAAGAAACUCAUACUCUACCAUCACAUAUUCCAUCUUGACUUAAGUAACACAUGGUUUUAAAAAAUGAUUUUAUACUAAUUGCAAGUUUUCAGGAAAUAUCACAGAUUGAGAUUAAUCAUGAUUAGAAAUAUUUUAAUCUUUUUAUUUUAUCAUGUCGGGAACAAUAUUCUGCAUAAUCUAAAAUAUAUAUAUGUGUAGAGUAAAGUGUGCAGAGUGUGUACCUGAAUCGUGGAGUGGUGUAGUCGGAGUGUGUUUAGCAUGUCGAGGGAUCUCCCCCAUACUUGUUUUCUGCUUUCUUGCACAAAAAUAAAGUAGAGACACACAAUACAUAAUAAUAAUACUCUUUAUUGAUCUUGAGGCAUUUAUUACACAAGGAAGAACAAAAUUAUUUUUGGCUAUUCUCUCCCGGAUUAGGAGUAGAAUAUUUUUGGGUGAUUCUAAAGAUGGAAAUGUAUGGAUAUAUGUGGAUGGUACUUCCGGAGUAGAAGUAGCAUGUGUGAGUGAACGUGCAAGUGAAACUUGAUUUAACCACAUGACAAGCUCCUAAGGGUCU
This 922-nucleotide long non-coding RNA is filed under the name Sorghum bicolor (sorghum). RNAcentral's name for it is "long non-coding RNA (SBIC_LNC000912)". Lineage: Eukaryota; Viridiplantae; Streptophyta; Magnoliopsida; Poales; Poaceae. The record is from RNAcentral.